This 278-nucleotide ribosomal RNA is filed under the name uncultured Staphylococcus sp. RNAcentral describes it as "partial 16S ribosomal RNA". It matches the Rfam family "Bacterial small subunit ribosomal RNA", at positions 524 to 802 of the family's 1533-position model. Lineage: Bacteria; Bacillati; Bacillota; Bacilli; Caryophanales; Staphylococcaceae. The record is from RNAcentral.
UACGUAGGUGGCAAGCGUUAUCCGGAAUUAUUGGGCGUAAAGCGCGCGUAGGCGGUUUUUUAAGUCUGAUGUGAAAGCCCAUGGCUCAACCGUGGAGGGUCAUUGGAAACUGGAAAACUUGAGUGCAGAAGAGGAAAGUGGAAUUCCAUGUGUAGCGGUGAAAUGCGCAGAGGUAUGGAGGAACACCAGUGGCGAAGGCGACUUUCUGGUCUGUAACUGACGCUGAUGUGCGAAAGCGUGGGGAUCAAACAGGAUUAGAUACCUGGUAGUCAAGGGCG